This 301-nucleotide ribosomal RNA is filed under the name uncultured bacterium. RNAcentral describes it as "partial 16S ribosomal RNA". It matches the Rfam family "Bacterial small subunit ribosomal RNA", at positions 509 to 807 of the family's 1533-position model. The record is from RNAcentral.
CAGUAGCCGCGGGAAUACAGAGGGUGCGAGCGUUAAUCGGAUUUACUGGGCGUAAAGCGUGCGUAGGCGGCUAAUUGAGUCGGAUGUGAAAUCCCCGAGCUUAACUUGGGAAUUGCAUUCGAUACUGGUUAGCUAGAGUGUGGGAGAGGAUGGUAGAAUUCAAGGUGUAGCGGUGAAAUGCGUAGAGAUCUGGAGGAAUACCGAUGGCGAAGGCAGCCAUCUGGCCUAACACUGACGCUGAGGUACGAAAGCAUGGGGAGCAAACAGGAUUAGAUACCCGCGUAGUCCCUGUCUCUUAUAC